This 1353-nucleotide ribosomal RNA is filed under the name uncultured marine eukaryote. Its description in RNAcentral is "SSU rRNA". It matches the Rfam family "Eukaryotic small subunit ribosomal RNA", at positions 411 to 1776 of the family's 1831-position model. The record is from RNAcentral.
CACUUCUAAGGAAGGCAGCAGGCGCGCAAAUUACCCAAUCCUGACUCAGGGAGGUAGUGACAAGAAAUAACAAUAAACCGGCUUAUGCCGGUUUAAUUGGAAUGAGUACAAUUUAAACAUCUUAACGAGGAACAAUUGGAGGGCAAGUCUGGUGCCAGCAGCCGCGGUAAUUCCAGCUCCAAUAGCGUAUACUAAAGUUGUUGCAGUUAAAAAGCUCGUAGUUGGAUUUCUGUGGGGACGGAGCGGCCGGCCGCAACACGCGGUUCGAGCUAGCGCUUUCCCUACAUCCUGCCGCGAACCGUGCUACCAUUAGUUUGGUGGCGCCGGGGAUCGGCUCGAUUACUUUGAGAAAAAUAGAGUGUUCAAAGCAGGCCACACGCCUUGAAUAAGUUAGCAUGGAAUAAUAACUAAGGACUUCGGUUCUAUUUUGUUGGUGUUCGGGACUGAAGUAAUGAUUGAUAGGGACAGUUGGGGCGGUCUGUAUUCCAAAGCGAGAGGUGAAAUUCUUAGACCUUCGGAAGACAAACAGCUGCGAAAGCGUUCCGCAAGGAUGUUCCCUUUGAUCAAGAACGAAAGUUGGGGGAUCGAAGACGAUCAGAUACCGUCGUAGUCUCAACUAUAAACUAUACCAGCUAGGGAUCGGCCAACGUUAUUCUAUACCGACUUGGUCGGCACCUUAUGAGAAAUCAAAGCAUCUGGGUUCCGGGGGGAGUAUGGUCGCAAGGCUGAAACUUAAAGGAAUUGACGGAAGGGCACCACCAGCCGUGGAGCCUGUGGCUUAAUUUGACUCAACACGGGAAAACUUACCAGGUCCAGACAUAGUAAGGAUUGACAGAUUGAUAGCUCUUUCUUGAUUCUGUGGGUGGUGGUGCAUGGCCGUUCUUAGUUGGUGGAGUGAUUUGUCUGGUUAAUUCCGUUAACGAACGAGACCCCAGCCUGCUAAAUAGCGCGUGUGAGCUUUGCUCGCAGCGAGCUUCUUAGAGGGACUAUGAUGCGCGAUAGCACAUGGAAGUUUGGGGCAAUAACAGGUCUGUGAUGCCCUUAGAUGUUCUGGGCCGCACACGGACUACACUGGCGCCUGCAACGAGCAUAUCAGCUGGCCCGAGAGGGUCUUGGCUAAUCUUUUGAACCGGCGCCGUGCUUGGGAUUGACCUUUGCAAUUGUUGGUCAUGCAACGAGGAAUGCCUUGUAAACGCGAGUCAUCAGCUCGCAUUGAAUACGUCCCUGCCCUUUGUACACACCGCCCGUCGCUCCUACCGAUGAAUGUUCCGAUGAAAUUUUCGGAGAGCACCUGUGAACUUGGCUCCGCCUUGCGAACGGGAGGCUCAAAGUCACUUAAAUCUGAACAUUUCG